UACACAUUCAAAAACACAAUCAGG
Molecule: non-coding RNA, 24 nt
Filed under: Arabidopsis thaliana (thale cress)
Lineage: Eukaryota; Viridiplantae; Streptophyta; Magnoliopsida; Brassicales; Brassicaceae
Source: RNAcentral